ACCGCCCGUCCACACCAUGAGAGUUGGGAAUACCCGAAGCCUGUGAGCUAACUUUAAGAGGCAGCAGUCGAAGGUAGAAUCAAUGAUUGGGGUGAAGUCGUAACAAGGUAGC
Molecule: ribosomal RNA, 112 nt
Filed under: uncultured bacterium
Lineage: Bacteria
Description: partial 16S ribosomal RNA
Rfam family: Bacterial small subunit ribosomal RNA
Source: RNAcentral